This 472-nucleotide ribosomal RNA is filed under the name uncultured bacterium. RNAcentral describes it as "bacterial SSU rRNA". It matches the Rfam family "Bacterial small subunit ribosomal RNA", at positions 328 to 793 of the family's 1533-position model. The record is from RNAcentral.
CUUUUUCACUCCUACGGGAGGCAGCAGUGGGGAAUAUUGCACAAUGGGGGAAACCCUGAUGCAGCCAUGCCGCGUGUGUGAAGAAGGCCUUCGGGUUGUAAAGCACUUUCAGUAGGGAGGAAGGUAGUGUAGUUAACACCUGCAUUAUUUGACGUUACCUACAGAAGAAGCACCGGCUAACUCCGUGCCAGCAGCCGCGGUAAUACGGAGGGUGCGAGCGUUAAUCGGAAUUACUGGGCGUAAAGCGCAUGCAGGCGGCCUGUUAAGUCAGAUGUGAAAGCCCGGGGCUCAACCUCGGAAUUGCAUUUGAAACUGGCAGACUAGAGUACUGUAGAGGGGGUAGAAUUUCAGGUGUAGCGGUGAAAUGCGUAGAGAUCUGAAGGAAUACCGGUGGCGAAGGCGGCCCCCUGGACAGAUACUGACACUCAGAUGCGAAAGCGUGGGGAGCAAACAGGAUUAGAUACCCUGGUAG